RNAcentral lists this ribosomal RNA (140 nucleotides) under uncultured bacterium. RNAcentral's name for it is "partial 16S rRNA". It matches the Rfam family "Bacterial small subunit ribosomal RNA", at positions 355 to 507 of the family's 1533-position model. The record is from RNAcentral.
UGGGGAAUAUUGCACAAUGGGCGAAAGCCUGAUGCAGGGACGCCGCGUGAGGGAUGACGGCCUUCGGGUUGUAAACCUCUUUCAGCAGGGAAGAAGCGCAAGUGACGGUACCUGCAGAAGAAGCACCGGCUAACUACGUG